CUGGAGACAGGUGCGUGCAUGGCUGUCGUCAGCUCGUGUCGUGAGAUGUUGGGUUAAGUCCCGCAACGAGCGCAACCCUUGCCUUUAGUUGCCAGCAGUUCGGCUGGGCACUCUAAAGGGACUGCCGGUGUUAAACCGGAGGAAGGUGGGGAUGACGUCAAGUCCUCAUGGCCUUUAUGACCAGGGCUACACGCGUACUACAAUGGCCGAUACAAAGGGCAGCGACACUGCGAGGUGAAGCCAAUCCCGUAAAAUCGGUCUCAGUCCGGAUUGGAGUCUGCAACUCGACUCCAUGAAGUUGGAAUCGCUAGUAAUCGUGGAUCAGCAUGCCACGGUGAAUACGUUCCCGGGCCUU
Molecule: ribosomal RNA, 355 nt
Filed under: uncultured Desulfobulbus sp.
Lineage: Bacteria; Pseudomonadati; Thermodesulfobacteriota; Desulfobulbia; Desulfobulbales; Desulfobulbaceae
Description: bacterial SSU rRNA
Rfam family: Bacterial small subunit ribosomal RNA
Source: RNAcentral